ACAACUUUAGACAACGGAUCUCUUGGCUCUCGCAACGAUGAAGAACGCAGCGAAAUGCGAUACGUAAUGUGAAUUGCAGAAUCCAGUGAAUCAUCGAAUCUUUGAACGCACAUUGCGCUCCUUGGUAUCCCGAGGAGCAUGCCUGUUUGAGAACCUUAACGUCUCUCACAC
Molecule: ribosomal RNA, 171 nt
Filed under: Phlyctochytrium aureliae
Lineage: Eukaryota; Fungi; Chytridiomycota; Chytridiomycetes; Chytridiales; Chytridiaceae
Description: 5.8S ribosomal RNA
Rfam family: 5.8S ribosomal RNA
About the family: 5.8S ribosomal RNA (5.8S rRNA) is a component of the large subunit of the eukaryotic ribosome.
Source: RNAcentral